CUACGGGGUGUAGCAGUAGGGAAUCUUAGACAAUGGGGGAAACCCUGAUCUAGCCAUGCCGCGUGAGUGAUGAAGGCCUUAGGGUUGUAAAGCUCUUUCGCUGGGGAAGAUAAUGACGGUACCCAGUAAAGAAACCCCGGCUAACUCCGUGCCAGCAGCCGCGGUAAUACGGAGGGGGUUAGCGUUGUUCGGAAUUACUGGGCGUAAAGCGCGCGUAGGCGGGCUAUUAAGUCAGGGGUGAAAUCCCGGGGCUCAACCCCGGAACUGCCUUUGAUACUGGUAGUCUUGAGUUCGAGAGAGGUGAGUGGAAUUCCGAGUGUAGAGGUGAAAUUCGUAGAUAUUCGGAGGAACAUCAGUGGCGAAGGCGACUCACUGGCUCGAUACUGACGCUGAGGUGCGAAAGUGUGGGGAGCAAACAGGAUUAGAUACCCCGGUAGUC
RNAcentral lists this ribosomal RNA (439 nucleotides) under uncultured bacterium. RNAcentral's name for it is "partial 16S ribosomal RNA". It matches the Rfam family "Bacterial small subunit ribosomal RNA", at positions 339 to 795 of the family's 1533-position model. The record is from RNAcentral.